This 459-nucleotide ribosomal RNA is filed under the name uncultured bacterium. RNAcentral describes it as "partial 16S ribosomal RNA". It matches the Rfam family "Bacterial small subunit ribosomal RNA", at positions 338 to 795 of the family's 1533-position model. The record is from RNAcentral.
CCUACGGGGGGCAGCAGUGAGGAAUAUUGGUCAAUGGUCGGGAGACUGAACCAGCCAAGCCGCGUGAGGGAUGAAGGUACAGAGUAUCGUAAACCUCUUUUGUCAGGGAACAAAGGCGGGGACGCGUCCCCGGAUGAGUGUACCUGAAGAAAAAGCAUCGGCUACCUCCGUGCCAGCAGCCGCGGUAAUACGGAGGAUGCGAGCGUUAUCCGGAUUUAGUGGGGUUAAAGGGUGCGCAGGCGGUUUGUUAAGGCAGCGGUCAAAGCCCGGGGCUCAACCCCGGCCCGCCGUUGAAACUGGGAGUCUCGAGUUGGAGAGAAGUAUGCGGAAUGCGCGGUGUAGCGGUGAAAUGCAUAGAUAUCGCGCAGAACUCCGAUUGCGAAGGCAGCAUACCGGCUCCAAACUGACGCUGAGGCACGAAAGCGUGGGUAUCGAACAGGAUUAGAUACCCGGGUAGUC